GUCAGGGCAGAGUUCAGGGCAUCCCCCCACGUCCCUCUGCUGUAUGGGCAUCCCCUGCAUCCCACAGCCCCUUUGCUGUAUGGGCCCCCCCCGCCCCCCGCAUGGUGGAGGUGAGGGUUGAGCUCUGAGCCACCCCCCAGUGAUGGCUGAUGUGUUGGGAGCAGAAGUGCUGGCAAAGCAAAACUGAGAGCAGCAAAACGCUGGGAGAAAUCCUCAAAUGUCUGUUUUAAGAGAAGGGAGGUUUCUGCUCUCCUCUUUUUCCUCCUCCUUCACGCAGUUGGCAAUGGAAACAGCAAUUCUCAUACAAAUCAAAAUGUUUGCAAGGAGCUUCGAUCGUCACGGCUUGGCAGGAGCAGCUUUUGGGUUCCUUGAACUUUCUUUGCUCAGAUGCAAAAUGGAAAAGGCUCCAGCCUGAGGCUCUUUGGGAUGGGAGAGGUGCUGCUGCUCAGCUCCGGAACCCCUUUGUUUUCACAUCUUCCUCUACAGAUAUCCCAGGCAGCUCCAGACUGAGAGCAGCACAGACCCUGGGGGCAGGGCAGCAGGUGUUCACAUGGUUAACCCAGGCUGGGGGCACUUGGAGCCCUUUUGGGGUGCCGGGGUGACCCCACGGGAGAUGCCAGAGCCCCUCUGCUGUGGGAACAGUGCUGUGACCUCACAGCCUUUGGUGCACAAGGCAGCAGAGCCACCGGCAGAGCUGGAACAGGAGGAAUACGUUCCUUAACCCUCCACUUCUCCCUGCCUUCCACCCUUCCCAGCACUGAGCCGUGCUGUUCUGCUCUGUGCUCCAACGCAGCCAAACCCAAAUCAAGAGGUCGGACCCCAAAGCCUUUGGGCUGCAAUCCAAGUGCUGCACUCCUCCCUCUGUGACAUCUGCAGCUCCACAACAGCCUCCGGCCGAGGUCCCGACGCCGGCGGUCACUAAUGGUCCCCCUGGGCUCCCGCAGGGCUCCGUGCCCCAUCUUGCACAACCCUGGGAUGGAUGGCUGUUCCAGGACCAGGGGACAACUCAGAAGUGGGGAUGCAGCCAUGUGAGCUCACCAGGUGCUGAGCAGGAGCUGGUGAAGGACAAAGCAGUGGGAGGUGGGCCUGGGGCUGGUAGGGGGGCUGGGGGGGCUGCAGUAGGAACUCCAUGGGGCCACGAACCACUCUGGGUGUGAUGGGAAGGAUGCGCACAGCGCGUGGCCUAGAGCAGCCAGUUAGCUAAAUGUUUUAAAAAGU
Molecule: long non-coding RNA, 1218 nt
Filed under: Meleagris gallopavo (turkey)
Lineage: Eukaryota; Metazoa; Chordata; Aves; Galliformes; Phasianidae
Description: lncRNA (ENSMGAG00000020393.1)
Source: RNAcentral